This 429-nucleotide ribosomal RNA is filed under the name Bacteroidota bacterium. RNAcentral's name for it is "Bacteroidetes bacterium partial 16S ribosomal RNA". It matches the Rfam family "Bacterial small subunit ribosomal RNA", at positions 355 to 776 of the family's 1533-position model. The record is from RNAcentral. Lineage: Bacteria; Pseudomonadati; Bacteroidota.
UAGGGAAUCUUCCGCAAUGGACGCAAGUCUGACGGAGCAACGCCCCGUGAGUGAAGAAGGAUUUCGGUUCGUAAAACUCUGUUGUUAGAGAAGAACAGCGCAUAGAGUAACUGUUAUGCGUGUGACGGUAUCUAACCAGAAAGCCACGGCUAACUACGUGCCAGCAGCCGCGGUAAUACGUAGGUGGCAAGCGUUGUCCGGAUUUAUUGGGCGUAAAGCGAGCGCAGGCGGUCAAUUAAGUCUGAUGUGAAAGCCCCCGGCUCAACCGGGGAGGGUCAUUGGAAACUGGUUGACUUGAGUGCAGAAGAGGAGAGUGGAAUUCCAUGUGUAGCGGUGAAAUGCGUAGAUAUAUGGAGGAACACCAGUGGCGAAGGCGACUCUCUGGUCUGUAACUGACGCUGAGGCUCGAAAGCGUGGGUAGCAAACAGG